AAAUUGAAGAGUUUGAUCAUGGCUCAGAUUGAACGCUGGCGGCAGGCCUAACACAUGCAAGUCGAACGGUAACAGGAAACAGCUUGCUGUUUCGCUGACGAGUGGCGGACGGGUGAGUAAUGUCUGGGAAACUGCCUGAUGGAGGGGGAUAACUAC
RNAcentral lists this ribosomal RNA (156 nucleotides) under Escherichia coli. Its description in RNAcentral is "partial 16S ribosomal RNA". It matches the Rfam family "Bacterial small subunit ribosomal RNA", at positions 1 to 150 of the family's 1533-position model. RNAcentral also lists the same sequence under 2 other names. Lineage: Bacteria; Pseudomonadati; Pseudomonadota; Gammaproteobacteria; Enterobacterales; Enterobacteriaceae. The record is from RNAcentral.